RNAcentral lists this non-coding RNA (27 nucleotides) under Homo sapiens (human). The record is from RNAcentral. Lineage: Eukaryota; Metazoa; Chordata; Mammalia; Primates; Hominidae.
UAAUUGCAAAACACCUGCAAUGUGCCA